AAAAAAUCUGCAAAUCGUGUUGAUGAAGAACACGAUUGCAAGGCCACGUCCACCGUCGUGCUUGCCUCCGGUGGCUUCGUGAUUGUCACGAAUGAUGGUUCUACAAGAUCCAGCAGCUUCGUCGACGAGGGAUGCAGCUGCUCUGCGGUUUGGUGCAGAUCACCACUCUUUUUUGAUGGAGUCAAUCUCAUCGCGCUGUUGCGAGAAGCAGCCACGCCCGACGAUGAGACCCGGUCAGUGUGCGUUGUUGAGGCACGCUGUUGCCUCGCGCUCUCAUCGCGCGAUGGCUGACGGCGAGGCCUCGCAAGUCGUGGUCGAAGCGUGGACAGACAGGGAUGAUUCUGAGAUGAACAAUGUCACGCUGUGCAUAUCAAAGACCGAGAUUGUCUCGGUUUAAGGUCUCCUCACGACUCGACGGCCACCGUCGAAGCAAAUUGCCGCCUCGCGCACUUGCUGUGCGAUAGCGAAUGGCGAAGCCUCGCAUGGUGUGGCCGCUAUGCGCAGGCCGUCUCGCAUCGGUGGUCCCAUUUUUCUUCUUCUCGCGAAUCUAUCACGGGAGAGGCCACCUCGACGCCGGUGAUCUCGUCGCUACAGGCUAGCCGGCGGGAGUGCAAGAGUUGCGCGGUUACUGGCGCCUCCCGCUAGCGGCUUGUGCCGGCGAACCGGUCUGGUUGAUUGCUUGGCGGCGGCUAAGGUUCGUCUGACGGAGAAGAUGAAUUUGCAAGCCAAAAUAUGAUUUGAUGCUUGUAAAUUUUGAAAAAUUUUAAAUUGGUCAUUUGGGC
RNAcentral lists this long non-coding RNA (782 nucleotides) under Manihot esculenta (cassava). RNAcentral describes it as "long non-coding RNA (MESC_LNC001256)". The record is from RNAcentral. Lineage: Eukaryota; Viridiplantae; Streptophyta; Magnoliopsida; Malpighiales; Euphorbiaceae.